UGGCCGUAAACGAUGUGGACUUGGUGUUGGAAUGGCUCAGAGCUGCUCCAGUGCCGAAGGGAAGCUGUUAAGUCCACCGCCUGGGAAGUACGGUCGCAAGACUGAACUUAAGGAUUGGCGGGGGAGCACCACAACGCGUGGAGCCUGCGGUUUAAUUGGAUUCAACGCCGGACAUCUCACCGGAUAAGACCAGCUGAAUGAUAGUCGGGAUGAAGACUCUACUUGACUAGCUGAGAGGUGGUGCAUGGCGUGUGACUGU
Molecule: ribosomal RNA, 259 nt
Filed under: uncultured archaeon
Lineage: Archaea
Description: partial 16S ribosomal RNA
Rfam family: Archaeal small subunit ribosomal RNA
Source: RNAcentral